ACUCCUACGGGAGGCAGCAGUGGGGAAUAUUGCACAAUGGGGGAAACCCUGAUGCAGCCAUGCCGCGUGUGUGAAGAAGGCCUUCGGGUUGUAAAGCACUUUCAGUAGGGAGGAAGGUAGUGUAGUUAACACCUGCAUUAUUUGACGUUACCUACAGAAGAAGCACCGGCUAACUCCGUGCCAGCAGCCGCGGUAAUACGGAGGGUGCGAGCGUUAAUCGGAAUUACUGGGCGUAAAGCGCAUGCAGGUGGUUUGUUAAGUCAGAUGUGAAAGCCCGGGGCUCAACCUCGGAAUUGCAUUUGAAACUGGCAGACUAGAGUACUGUAGAGGGGGGUAGAAUUUCAGGUGUAGCGGUGAAAUGCGUAGAGAUCUGAAGGAAUACCGGUGGCGAAGGCGGCCCCCUGGACAGAUACUGACACUCAGAUGCGAAAGCGUGGGGAGCAAACAGGAUUAGAUACCCUGGUAGGAUAGCG
This 473-nucleotide ribosomal RNA is filed under the name uncultured bacterium. Its description in RNAcentral is "bacterial SSU rRNA". It matches the Rfam family "Bacterial small subunit ribosomal RNA", at positions 335 to 799 of the family's 1533-position model. The record is from RNAcentral.